CCAUAUAAAGUCACUUAAGCCAUAUCUUCUUCCUGUUUCCUGAGAGGUCCUCGGCUGGGGGUCUGCUCACAUGGAGGUCUCUAUGGCUUUAGAGGUCUUGAUUCUCCUUGCUGCCUGGAUUUGGCCUUGUGCUGAGAAUGUCUAUGUGAAAAUAGGUUGUUCUUUGGACUGGGUGAUGGUCUCUGUUAGCCCGUAUGCAUGCAGCAGCCAUCUGUAUAUAUUUGCUGAUGAGUAUAUCUGGGAUCGAGUUGCCCUGCAACUCGGAUACAAACAUAUGCAUAUGAUUUUAUAUACCCUGUCCAUGCCUGUGGGAUCAGGACAAAGGUUAUUUCAGAGGAUACUCUCCUUUUUCAAACAGAGAUAUACUUUAACCCUAGGAAUAUGCAUUGUGACCAUGAGAAAAUCCCUUUGGAGUGUUGUGCCUCUAGGAAAUCAGUGUGGCUCACACCAGUUUCUACAGAUCAUGAAAUAAAAUUGGACCCCAGUCCUUUUAUUGCUGACUUUGAGACAACACCAGAAGAGUUAGGAUUUUGAAAUUCUAGUCAAACUGACUCCAUACUUACAGAGAAAUUGAAACUUCAAAUUGAUGUCAUGAAUUUUGUUGGAAAAAUAGUUUUGUACAAAAAUAAUUGGUAUAAAUCUUUCCUUGGGUAUCUAAUUCCCUAAAACCCCUAAUCUAGUAUAGGUCCUGUUGCAGUGAAGAUGUAUUUUUAGAUAUUUUUAUUAAGAGCAUGUCUUAUUAAAGUUAGUUAUUAGAUAAUUCUGUUUCCUGUUUAAAUUUUGGUUUUAGUUCUAUGAGGUAGAUUCAGCAAUAGGUCUUCAUGACAAUACCUUUAAUUGAUAUAAACCUCCAAUAAAUAUGUUCUAAAUAUUUUCUUUAGUAAGGAUUAAAAAAAUAGAGCUAGGCAUAUAAAUGUGCCAGAGACUAAAAUUUAACACACUAACUCCCAGGAAAGACAAAGUCCUUUUAUAUGAAGAGACUAACUUGUGUGCACUUCGCUAAUUCAUCAGUAAAGCUGAGCCCUAAAAGUAGUUGAAUGUACUUCAUAUUUGGUUAAUAAUUAAAGUUAGAUUUAUAGUCUAGAAUUUAAAUAACCACAUCCUUAACUGAAGUUUGAGGUCAGGUUUUUCCUUUAUCCCUGAUAUGAAUCUUCAACUCUUGAAGUAAUUGACUGAGGUGCUCAACAGAGACUCAUCCUCUGUAGCCUUUAGAGCAUUUCACUAGAUGAUUUAUUCACCAGCCUUCAUGCCCUUGCCUUUUCCUUAAAGAAGGGAGUCUACCCCGUGUAAUACACCAAAGAUCACUCUGAGUUGGGGAAAGUUCUUCUAUCAAUUAUGAGAAUUAAACUGUGCCAUUUGUUAUUUAGUUGCUUAUUGAAUUUACAUUUUGGAUGUUAUAUCUUUCUGGAAACAGAUUUUGUUAAAAUAUUUUUAUUUAGUUUUUUAAAAAAUUUAAAGUGCUACUAUUUUCUCAUUGCCAAUAAAAUGCUGCAUACAGUUGUUUGCUUGAA
Molecule: long non-coding RNA, 1511 nt
Filed under: Sus scrofa (pig)
Lineage: Eukaryota; Metazoa; Chordata; Mammalia; Artiodactyla; Suidae
Source: RNAcentral